UCCGUACAGAUUGAUUAAGAUAAAUCAUUCUAGUCUCUUCCGCUAUCUGCUUGUUUUAUACAUCUCCGUGUGUGUUGAAAAUCUAUAUGACCUAAGAGAGUUCUGGGAAGAUAAAUGGUUAUGCUGUAAAGAGAGCAUUUUGAAAUAGUAGAAGGUUUGUUGCUAAGUGGUUUAAAUUGUUUAUGAACGCGGUGCAGCAAUAUAAAUGCUCUAACAAAUUGCCAAACCUGCAAUCUGAUUGUGAGUUAUUUUAAGGCGUGGUGCAAAUUCUUGUACUCAUGAUAUCAGCUUAUUAUCUUAGCAUUUUAGACAUCUCAGAUAUAAAGACUUCCAGGAUUUACAUUUGUAGUGAAGUAACGAUUUCUCUGCUUGUGUUGUAGUUCCUGAGCCACAGCUGGAUCAGUAUGUUAUCUGCAGAAGCAAGAGAUUUUUAGGAGCUUUUCAGCUUGAUGACAGGCAAAUUUCCUUACUUUAUUGUAGUUUUUAUUUGGAAUCCUGUCUUCUAUGUUUGUAAUUGUCUUUCUUUGAUGACAGUGGGGAAGAACCAGUGAACAUUGAAGCCAAUGAUUUAUAUGCUCUGCCUUACAAGUCCAUAAAGCCACUUGUGGAGAGUGGGCAGAUCGAUCUGGUAUGAGAGUAUAGGAAACAGUACCCCCUUUGUUUUCUGCUGAU
RNAcentral lists this long non-coding RNA (672 nucleotides) under Nicotiana tabacum (common tobacco). RNAcentral describes it as "long non-coding RNA (NTAB_LNC011055)". The record is from RNAcentral. Lineage: Eukaryota; Viridiplantae; Streptophyta; Magnoliopsida; Solanales; Solanaceae.